UACGGAGGGAGCUAGCGUUGUUCGGAAUUACUGGGCGUAAAGCGCACGUAGGCGGCUUUGUAAGUUAGAGGUGAAAGCCCGGGGCUCAACUCCGGAAUAGCCUUUAAGACUGCAUCGCUUGAAUCCGGGAGAGGUGAGUGGAAUUCCGAGUGUAGAGGUGAAAUUCGUAGAUAUUCGGAAGAACACCAGUGGCGAAGGCGGCUCACUGGACCGGUAUUGACGCUGAGGUGCGAAAGCUAGGGGAGCAAACGGG
This 253-nucleotide ribosomal RNA is filed under the name uncultured bacterium. RNAcentral's name for it is "partial 16S ribosomal RNA". It matches the Rfam family "Bacterial small subunit ribosomal RNA", at positions 524 to 776 of the family's 1533-position model. The record is from RNAcentral.